This 387-nucleotide ribosomal RNA is filed under the name Triticum aestivum (bread wheat). Its description in RNAcentral is "partial small subunit ribosomal RNA". Lineage: Eukaryota; Viridiplantae; Streptophyta; Magnoliopsida; Poales; Poaceae. The record is from RNAcentral.
AUGAGAUCUCUCUGCUACGUGACUUUCCUGCUCAUCUUGUCCAUCAGCAACGUGCAACUCUCUGCAUCCGUACGCCUCUUGGCCGAAAGUCCACAUGGCCAGCCAGGUGCACCGGCGCCGCUCCCUCCCGGCGGCCUGUCGGGAAACAUCCCGGCUAAUGUCCCGGCGAGCAUGUCAGACAACAUUCCGGGGAACCUCCCUGCUAGCCUGCCAGAGAACAUGCCGAUCCCCAAGAUGCCCGACUUAUCGGGGCUGACGAACCUCUCGUUCCCGCCGAUGCGUUCGGCGUCCCUGCCGAAGAUGCCGCAAAACCUCUCGCUCUUCGGGUUCGACGUGAAGAUCCCAAAGUUCAUCAACAAGAUGGUAAAGGAGAACACAGAUUCCUGA